This is a long non-coding RNA of Dromaius novaehollandiae (emu), 1329 nucleotides long. The record is from Ensembl. Lineage: Eukaryota; Metazoa; Chordata; Aves; Casuariiformes; Dromaiidae.
ACUUAAAUUCAAGCAGAAUAUCGAUCCUACAGUAAAACUCUAGAACUGAGCUGUGCYAUAGAGCAAGAAGACUCCCUGUGCUCCUCCGAACACUUCCCAGCURCAGACAGAAUGGUGGGAUUUCCAUCCUGCGUGGAGAGUGAAAGACAACAGGAGGAUGAGGAAAAGUAGGUCCAAGCUGGCAUGCUGACGGAUACCAUCACUUCAGCAGCAGACCAGAAGCUGUCUGUGGACUUCCAAAUCGUUAAAAAGGAGAACUGGARCGAGCCUUCCUGAGGGGGAAGCGGAGCAGCAGGAGAAGGAUCCGUAUCCUUGGGAUUGCCAUGGCCAAAGCUUGACCCUCUCAUCUUCAGAUGCGGUAGAGUCGUGAGUAAGUGAAGGUUAGUGAGCAAAGUAAUGUUUCGGGGAGUCUUCSGAAACAAGCAGUGAAUUAACCAGGCCAUCCGCAUUCAGAGCCUCAUAUACCAGUAAGAAGAGACUCCCCUACUUCCUAGGCAGAGAGAGUAAAACAGCCAGGAUAUAACUGCAGGAAUUCAGACCCAUGAAAUUGUGCCACUGUGCUCCAAAGAGGCUGUAAAAGGGGGUGGUGGUGGUGGUGCAGCCUUACUGUCGCCCUUCUCCCUGCCCGCUCUCCCCAAACUACAAUUCACUAUAAUCAGACCUCGAGAUUAGGCAAACACGUGCUGCCGUUGUGAGAUAAACACCGGGAAAGCCUUCCAAGAAGGGAGGCAGGAUCAACUACCUGUUGGUUAUUGAGGCCCGAUAGUGUGUUUAUUUCAUAGCUGGAAUUGUGGGGAAUACCCUGUAAUGGCGAGURGGGGAGCAGAAGCCAGUUGCUUAUCUGAUGAAGUUAAUAGAUAGGACUGCUUCUGGGUUAAUCUAGCACUAGCUUGUCUUACGAGGCAUUUUUCGAUGUAAUGAUAACCAUACCUGCUUUUUACUUGUUCAUCRUUAGCAGUGAAUAUAUAUAUAUUAGCCUUUUUUUUCAGGGUAGGAGAAUGAAAAUGUGUUUCUGGACAGCAGCCUCCCCUUCAAACAGCAGCUACUUCCACCGUGCUUUUUAUCCUCCCUAUUUACUCUUGCUUCAAGGCUUUGUGCUGUCCAAAGACUUCGGGAUGUUUAAGAGCCUUAUUCCUGAAAGUACCGUGCAUCUGAAACUCCAUUCAGAAGUUCCUAGGGUGCAUCCACACUGGAAAUUUAUUGCAGUGUUUGGAUUAACUUUCAGCCAUUGUUGAGAGAGCAGAGUGUCUGUACGGUACAGCAUCUCAAACAACUUUGUCCAGGACAGGAACAAAUAAAGAAGAGGAAACCCUGAAGAGCCCUGGGGAC